AUAUAAUUAUAUUAAAGUUUGUAUCAGGGAAGUUUACCACUCAACUGCUGAUUCUCAAUACUGCCUGACAUCACUGUUCAGCAGUCUGUCCACACAUAUCCCACCCUGGGAUCUUACCCUGGGUUAAUCCAGACUUAGGUACCACUGAAUCGCUGUUAGUGGUUUACUGUGAGGGAAGCUGCUGAUGUGAUAGAAAUAUAUUUUAUAUGUGUGGUUUUAAAUCCAGUCUGUAAGCAGAUAUCUUGUUAUAGACGUUGCUAAGCAACAGACAUGGGUUUAGGUGAAGGUCAAGGUGAAGGUCAAGGUGAAGGAAAAGGAAAAGGCGAUUUAUGUCCUGGAAUACUGUGGGGAAUCGUAUGGUUUCUCAUCCUGUGGUUCCUGGGAUGGCCUAUAGCAUUUUUUGUAGCUUGGUUGUAUAUACUCCUGCUACCAUUUUCGGCCUGCAUUGAGCCACUGAAGGGAGUUUGUGAGGCAUUGCUCAAGGUUGUAAAUCUGCCUCUGACAUGCGCGGAGAAUAUGAUCGCCAUGAAGCCCCUGUGUGGUGGAUAGAUAACUUUCAAGGAUUUUAGGUGUUCUAGUGACGAUAUAGUAAUUAUUACAUGUUUAUAAAUCACGAAUUACAAAAAUUCAAAACACUGAUGUUGUCUCCCAACACAGAAAAUCUUUAUGAACAACUUCGGUUUAUCUCGGAUGAUAUUCAAACUGACCUGAUCUGCUCAUUCAAUGUGUUUCAGAAACCAACAUAUUAUAAAUAGUCAAAAAUAUUUCUUAUUCAGUUAAUUAUCCAUACAUGGAAGGUAUGAACUUCUCAGUUUGAUCAAUAACUUAGCAUCCAAACAAAUGAUAAGACUUGUGCCAUCAGUUAUAUUUGUACAGUGAACUUCAGUGUUACUUUACUGUAUAAUGAUAAUAUUACCGAUCUGCUGUCUACUUUAAAUAUGUGGCUUCAUUUUUCAUAACAAUUCUCAAUAAUUUCCUAAGUAUUCCUGUUGUCAAUUUUGGCCAUUUUGAGACAAACUGAAGUGAGAUUGUGAGGCUUCACUUUAAUCUGCUACUGACGUGCAUGGAGAAUAUGAUCACCAUGAAGCCCCUGUGUGACAGAUAAAUAAGACAAAAUCCAAUGUUGAGGAUUUCCAUAAGAACGCAUAGAGUUAAAGAAAGUCUGGAAUUUCUGAACAUCUAUAUCAUUCUUUUCUGGAAAAUCUUAAGCUAUGUGGAGUUUUCUUCAAUUUCAAACUUUUUCAAAUCUGAGAGCAGAAAUAAUUUAUUCAAGUCUGUUAUUUAUUUAUUUAUUUACAACAAGAAAUAAGAUAUUAUUUGUGUCUAAACACAUACUUGAUUUCAGUUUGAGAUAAAACGUUAUACUACAGUAACCUUAUACUGUUAAAACUGUACAUCAUACAACAUGUAAUAAGUUGCGCCAUGUUGAGAUGAUGACUAAAUUUCUCAACCACUUAAGGAUGUAUAUAUGAUCCUAUCAAAGGCCAGUCAAUGACGAAACAUAUCCUGAAUAAAUAUCAAAACAUCAGGAUUGCUCAGGAUUAUUGCUCAUCCCUACCGAACUACAAAACUUCUAUACACAACGACCGUAACAGCAUGAUGGAGAAAGAGAAAGCUACCUCCACAACUAUACAAAACAGGCACUAUAGAUUAAUUCAAAACAUCAUACACAAAAUAUUUACACUUCAUGAAAACCUCUGUAUCUAUUCCUUACGAAGGACAAGCUCUGAAACUAGUCGUUUAAGAUAUUAGCAAAAUCACUGAAUUUUGUACAAAGGAUUUAUUACAGGGGUUUACAGGAACACACAUCUCCCCUAAAAGAGCUGUAUUAUUAUAAUUACCCGGUAGUGAUAUUUUUCAGAAAAUAAAUUAUUUAUGAUAAGAA
This is a long non-coding RNA of Pecten maximus, 1885 nucleotides long. RefSeq lists it as uncharacterized. NCBI's taxonomy places the organism in Eukaryota, Metazoa, Mollusca, Bivalvia, Pectinida, Pectinidae. The record is from RefSeq and is a predicted model, not a curated record. The transcript is spliced from 2 exons.